UACGGAGGGUGCAAGCGUUAUUCGGAUUUAUUGGGCGUAAAGGGCGCGUAGGCGGCCGCUUAAGUCAGAUGUGAAAGCCCGGGGCUUAACCCCGGAAGUGCGUUUGAUACUGGGUGGCUUGAGUAUGGGAGAGGGAAGUGGAAUUCCUGGUGUAGAGGUGAAAUUCGUAGAUAUCAGGAGGAACAUCGGUGGCGAAGGCGACUUCCUGGACCAAUACUGACGCUGAGGCGCGAAGGCGUGGGUAGCAAACAGGAUUAGAUACCCCCGUAGUCC
Molecule: ribosomal RNA, 273 nt
Filed under: uncultured bacterium
Lineage: Bacteria
Description: partial 16S ribosomal RNA
Rfam family: Bacterial small subunit ribosomal RNA
Source: RNAcentral